Molecule: ribosomal RNA, 433 nt
Filed under: uncultured bacterium
Lineage: Bacteria
Description: partial 16S ribosomal RNA
Rfam family: Bacterial small subunit ribosomal RNA
Source: RNAcentral
AACGAACGCUGGCGGCAUGCCUAACACAUGCAAGUCGAACGAGACCUUCGGGUCUAGUGGCGCACGGGUGCGUAACGCGUGGGAACCUGCCCUUAGGUUCGGACUAACUCCCCGAAAGGGGUGCUAAUACCGGAUCAUGUCUUCGGCCCAAAGAUUUAUCGCCUUUGGAUGUGCCCGCGUUGGAUUAGCUAGUUGGUAGGGUAAAAGCCUACCAAGGCGACGAUCCAUAGCUGGUCUGAGAGGAUGAUCAGCCACACUGGGACGGAGACACGGCCCAGACUCCUACGGGAGGCAGCAGUGGGGAAUAGUGGACCAUGGGCGAAAGCCUGAUGCAGCAAUGCCGCGUGAGUGAUGAAGGCCUUAGGGUUGUAAAGCGCUUUUACCCGGGAUGAUAAUGACAGUACCGGGAGAAUAAGCUCCGGCUAACUCCGUG